RNAcentral lists this ribosomal RNA (383 nucleotides) under uncultured bacterium. RNAcentral describes it as "bacterial SSU rRNA". It matches the Rfam family "Bacterial small subunit ribosomal RNA", at positions 29 to 415 of the family's 1533-position model. The record is from RNAcentral.
AUUGAACGCUGGCGGCAUGCCUUACACAUGCAAGUCGAACGGCAGCGCGGGGCAACCUGGCGGCGAGUGGCGAACGGGUGAGUAAUAUAUCGGAACGUACCCUGGAGUGGGGGAUAACGUAGCGAAAGUUACGCUAAUACCGCAUACGAUCUAAGGAUGAAAGUGGGGGAUUCGCAAGAACCUCAUGCUCCUGGAGCGGCCGAUAUCUGAUUAGCUAGUUGGAGGGUAAAGCCUACCAAGGCAUCGAUCAGUAGCUGGUCUGAGGGGACGACCAGCCACACUGGGACUGAGACACGGCCCAGACUCCUACGGGAGGCAGCAGUGGGGAAUAUUGCACAAUGGGCGAAAGCCUGAUGCAGCGACGCCGCGUGAGGGAUGACGGC